This 462-nucleotide ribosomal RNA is filed under the name uncultured bacterium. RNAcentral's name for it is "bacterial SSU rRNA". It matches the Rfam family "Bacterial small subunit ribosomal RNA", at positions 29 to 486 of the family's 1533-position model. The record is from RNAcentral.
AACGAACGCUGGCGGCGCGCCUAAUACAUGCAAGUCGAGCGAGAAGACGUAGCAAUACGUUUGUAAAGCGGCGAACGGGUGAGGAAUACAUGGGUAACCUACCCUCGAGUGGGGAAUAACUAGCCGAAAGGUUAGCUAAUACCGCGUACGCUCCUUGGACUUCGGUUCAGGGAGGAAAGCGAUACCGUGGGUAUCGCGCUCUUGGAUGGGCUCAUGUCCUAUCAGCUUGUUGGUGAGGAACGGCUCACCAAGGCUUCGACGGGUAGCUGGUCUGAGAGGACGAUCAGCCACACUGGCACUGCGACACGGGCCAGACUCCUACGGGAGCAGCAGUAAGGAAUAUUGCGCAAUGGGCGAAAGCCUGACGCAGCGACGCCGCGUGGGGGAUGAAGGUCUUCGGAUUGUAAACCCCUUUCGGGAGGGAAGAUGGAACGAGCAAUCGUUCGGACGGUACCUCCAGAA